UGAGAACUGAAUUCCAUAGAUGGUGUUCAUGAAAAGUUCAUCUAUGGGCUCAGUUCUU
Molecule: microRNA precursor, 58 nt
Filed under: Ictalurus punctatus (channel catfish)
Lineage: Eukaryota; Metazoa; Chordata; Actinopteri; Siluriformes; Ictaluridae
Description: microRNA ipu-mir-146a precursor
Gene: ipu-mir-146a
Source: miRBase by way of RNAcentral